Molecule: ribosomal RNA, 216 nt
Filed under: Glomeromycotina sp.
Lineage: Eukaryota; Fungi; Glomeromycota
Description: partial small subunit ribosomal RNA
Rfam family: Eukaryotic small subunit ribosomal RNA (bases 40-216)
Source: RNAcentral
GGGUCAGUAGGUUGGACGUGCCACCGGUACGUACUGGUCUCACUGAUUCCUCCUUCCUGAAGAACCGUAAUGCCGUUAAUUUGGUGUUGCGGGGAAACAGGACUGUUACUUUGAAAAAAUUAGAGUGUUUAAAGCAAGCUAACGCUUGAAUACAUUAGCAUGGAAUAAUGAAAUAGGACGAUCGAUCCUAUUUUGUUGGUUUCUAGGAUUGACGUA